This 800-nucleotide ribosomal RNA is filed under the name uncultured bacterium. RNAcentral's name for it is "bacterial SSU rRNA". It matches the Rfam family "Bacterial small subunit ribosomal RNA", at positions 8 to 850 of the family's 1533-position model. The record is from RNAcentral.
AGAGUUUGAUCCUGGCUCAGGAUGAACGCUGGCGGUCUGCUUAACACAUGCAAGUCGAACGGGCUCUUUCGGGAGCUAGUGGCGGACGGGUGAGUAACGCGUGAGAAUCUGGCUACAGGAUGGGGACAACAGUUGGGAACGGCUGCUAAUACCCGAUGUGCCGAGAGGUGAAAGAUUUAUCGCCUGUAGAUGAGCUCGCGUCAGAUUAGCUAGUUGGUGGGGUAAGGGCCUACCAAGGCGAUGAUCUGUAGCUGGUCUGAGAGGAUGAUCAGCCACACUGGGACUGAGACACGGCCCAGACUCCUACGGGAGGCAGCAGUGGGGAAUUUUCCGCAAUGGGGGCAACCCUGACGGAGCAAGACCGCGUGAGGGAUGAAGGUCUGUGGAUUGUAAACCUCUUUUGAUAGGGAAGAAGUUCUGACGGUACCUAUCGAAUCAGCAUCGGCUAACUCCGUGCCAGCAGCCGCGGUAAUACGGAGGAUGCAAGCGUUAUCCGGAAUUAUUGGGCGUAAAGCGUCCGCAGGUGGUUAAUCGAGUCUAUUGUCAAAGUGCGAGGCUAAACUUCGUAAAGGCAGUGGAAACUGAUUGACUAGAGUUUGGUAGGGGUAGAGGGAAUUCCCAGUGUAGCGGUGAAAUGCGUAGAUAUUGGGAAGAACACCGGUGGCGAAAGCGCUCUACUGGGCCUGAACUGACACUGAGGGACGAGAGCUAGGGGAGCGAAAGGGAUUAGAUACCCCUGUAGUCCUAGCUGUAAACGAUGGAUACUAGGUGUUGCCCGUAUCGACCCGGGCAGUGCCGUA